RNAcentral lists this ribosomal RNA (449 nucleotides) under uncultured bacterium. Its description in RNAcentral is "partial 16S ribosomal RNA". It matches the Rfam family "Bacterial small subunit ribosomal RNA", at positions 28 to 523 of the family's 1533-position model. The record is from RNAcentral.
GGCGAACGCUGGCGGCAGGCCUAACACAUGCAAGUCGAACGGAUCCUUCGGGAUUAGUGGCGGACGGGUGAGUAACACGUGGGAACGUGCCCUUUGGUUCGGAACAACUCAGGGAAACUUGAGCUAAUACCGGAUGUGCCCUUCGGGGGAAAGAUUUAUCGCCAUUGGAGCGGCCCGCGUCUGAUUAGCUAGUUGGUGAGGUAAAGGCUCACCAAGGCGACGAUCGGUAGCUGGUCUGAGAGGAUGAUCAGCCACACUGGGACUGAGACACGGCCCAGACUCCUACGGGAGGCAGCAGUGGGGAAUCUUGCGCAAUGGGCGAAAGCCUGACGCAGCCAUGCCGCGUGAAUGAUGAAGGUCUUAGGAUUGUAAAAUUCUUUCACCGGGGACGAUAAUGACGGUACCCGGAGAAGAAGCUCCGGCUAACUCCGUGCCAGCCGCCGCGGUAA